GUAGGGUGCAAGCGUUAAUCGGAAUUACUGGGCGUAAAGCGUGCGCAGGCGGUUAUGUAAGACAGAUGUGAAAUGCCCGGGCUUAACCUGGGAACUGCAUUUGUGACUGCAUGGCUAGAGUGUGUCAGAGGGGGGUAGAAUUCCACGUGUAGCAGUGAAAUGCGUAGAUAUGUGGAGGAAUACCGAUGGCGAAGGCAGCCCCCUGGGAUAACACUGACACUCAUGCACGAAAGCGUGGGGAGCAAACAGGAUUAGAUACCCUGGUAGUCCACGCCCUAAACGAUGUCUACUAGUUGUCGGGUCUUAAUUGACUUGGUAACGCAGCUAACGCGUGAAGUAGACCGCCUGGGGAGUACGGUCGCAA
RNAcentral lists this ribosomal RNA (364 nucleotides) under uncultured bacterium. Its description in RNAcentral is "bacterial SSU rRNA". It matches the Rfam family "Bacterial small subunit ribosomal RNA", at positions 527 to 891 of the family's 1533-position model. The record is from RNAcentral.